UACAGAGGGGGCAAGCGUUAUUCGGAUUUACUGGGCGUAAAGGGCGCGUAGGCGGCCACCGCAAGUCGACUGUGAAAUCUCCGGGCUUAACCCGGAAAGGUCAGCCGAUACUGCGGGGCUAGAGUGCAGAAGGGGCAACUGGAAUUCUCGGUGUAGCGGUGAAAUGCGUAGAUAUCGAGAGGAACACCUGCGGCGAAGGCGGGUUGCUGGGCUGACACUGACGCUGAUGCGCGAAAGCUAGGGGAGCGAACGGG
This 254-nucleotide ribosomal RNA is filed under the name uncultured bacterium. RNAcentral describes it as "partial 16S ribosomal RNA". It matches the Rfam family "Bacterial small subunit ribosomal RNA", at positions 524 to 776 of the family's 1533-position model. The record is from RNAcentral.